Molecule: long non-coding RNA, 765 nt
Organism: Equus quagga
Lineage: Eukaryota; Metazoa; Chordata; Mammalia; Perissodactyla; Equidae
Exons: 2
Source: RefSeq, a predicted model, not a curated record
UCCACGUGUAGGCCCGGAGCGCCGGCUGCUCACGCUCGCUGCGCUUAGCGAAUAGACCGCUUAAGACGCUGGGCCUAGGAGGCACUUACCGAAAGGUAGAACUGGAAGGAACCACACAGGGUGGCUUUGUAUUCUCGUUCAAACACUGACCAGAUUCUCGCUAGCCCCGGCCUGAAAGUGAAGACUUGUAGUUGCUUUUGAGUGGCCCCUCUUCAGUGCUUUAUAUUAGAUUGCUCGAGUUUGCAAAAUCCUUUGACGCACACACGCGCGAGGUGUGUAUUUUUGAUCGUCUUGUGGAAACAUCGAUACUGAAAGGAGACGCCCAGACUGACAAGCCUGGAUGAGAACUAGAAUUCAGUUGAGCCUGGUCAUUCAUUUCACGCGUGCACUCAGCAUCCCCUGAGCAUUCACCGUGUCAGGACGCCUACCACAGCAUGGCGUGCCAAGCAGUGCCAUGUCCACACCCAGGAUCAGAACCAGCGAAGCCCAGGCCACGGAGAAGCAGAAUGUGCGAACUUAACCACUGCGCCACCAGGACGGCCCCUGACAGCAUCUUAAGAAGUCUCCUAGCCUCCAAUCUAGCCUUUCUGCAAUCCCGUCUCCUCAGUAUAAUCCAAGCCCUUUCUAAAACACGAAUGUCAUCAUGUUACUCCUUAAUUUAAACCCUUUAAUGAUUCCCGCACUGUGUUCAAGAGAACAUUUAAACUCUUUAACAAUGCACACAAGGCCUUUAAAAUCUGGUCUCCAUUAAAUACUAAAUCCUUA